CCAAUAGCGUAUAUUAAAGUUGUUGCAGUUAAAAAGCUCGUAGCUGAAAUUAAGGAGAAUUGAUUAUCUUGUUUUAAAUGACUGGAUAAAAUGUGUUCUCCAAAGAGUUAAGUGGUAUGCAGCGCAUAACCACAAAGACGCCUUACUUUGAGUAAACUAGAGUGUUCCAAGCAGGCUAUCGCCUUGAAUACUGCAGCAUGGAAUAAUGAUAUGACAAUACCAAUAGUGUUUGGUUGACGUGAUAUUGUAAUGAUUGAUAGGAACAGGUGGGGGUAUUCGUAUUCAACAGUCAGAGGUGAAAUUCUUAGAUUUGUUGAAGACGAACUAAUGCGAAAGCAUUUACCAAGAAUGUUUCCAUUAG
This 361-nucleotide ribosomal RNA is filed under the name uncultured eukaryote. RNAcentral's name for it is "partial 18S ribosomal RNA". It matches the Rfam family "Eukaryotic small subunit ribosomal RNA", at positions 591 to 976 of the family's 1831-position model. The record is from RNAcentral.